CGGAGGGCAGCAGGCGCGCAAAUUKCCCAAUGUCAAAAAAAAAACGAUGAGGCAGCGAAAAGAAAUAGAGCCGACAGUGCAUUUUGUAUUGUCGUUUUCAAUGGGGGAUAUUUAAACCCAUCCAAAAUCGAGUAACAAUUGGAGG
RNAcentral lists this ribosomal RNA (145 nucleotides) under Trypanosoma noyesi. RNAcentral describes it as "partial small subunit ribosomal RNA". Lineage: Eukaryota; Euglenozoa; Kinetoplastea; Trypanosomatida; Trypanosomatidae. The record is from RNAcentral.